UGUAGCCAAGCUUUAAUUGUACGCUUGUUAACAAUGCCAUAGAUUUGACCAUUGUAUUAACUGAAACAUUAAUUAAUUGACCAUAACUGGCGUAUUUACCAUUCACAUGUCUCAGACGUCUGAUCUGCAUAAAAGAAAUACGAGGCGAAAUUAAUCUUUCAAAAA
This 165-nucleotide long non-coding RNA is filed under the name Polistes fuscatus (common paper wasp). RNAcentral's name for it is "uncharacterized LOC122513401". The record is from RNAcentral. Lineage: Eukaryota; Metazoa; Arthropoda; Insecta; Hymenoptera; Vespidae.